Molecule: RNA transcript, 1532 nt
Organism: Bactrocera tryoni
Lineage: Eukaryota; Metazoa; Arthropoda; Insecta; Diptera; Tephritidae
Gene: ClpP
Gene name: ATP-dependent Clp protease proteolytic subunit
Exons: 5
Source: RefSeq, a predicted model, not a curated record
AAGAGUUAUUGCUUGUCGGUACAUCGUGUUAGAUGAAAGUUUUUUUUAUUUAUAACCUUAUUGUAGUGAAAAAUAUAAUUACUUAAGAUGAUAAUGAAGUCAUUGCAACGAAUUUGGAAUCUGUCCAUGGGGAAAAAAACGUCAAACAAAAGAUAUAUUCAUCUAAUUCCAAUGGUUGUUGAGCAAACGGGCAGAGGCGAGCGAGCUUACGAUAUUUUCUCAAGGUUAUUAAAGGAACGUAUAGUAUGCGUAAUGGGUCCCAUACAUGAUGAUCUAAGCUCUUUAGUUGUGGCCCAACUGUUAUUUCUACAAUCUGAAAAUUUUAACAAGCCAAUUCAUAUGUACAUUAAUUCUCCUGGCGGAGUUGUAACUGCAGGACUGGCAAUUUAUGAUACAAUGCAGUAUGUAAAACCCCCAAUUUCAACAUGGUGUGUUGGUCAAGCAUGUUCUAUGGGUUCUUUACUGUUAACUGCAGGCACUACAGGGAUGAGAUAUUCGCUUCCUAAUGCGCGCAUAAUGAUACAUCAGCCUUCUGGAGGAGUUCAGGGACAAGCAACGGACAUACAAAUCCAGGCAGAAGAAAUUAUAAAGCUAAAAAAGCAAUUGAUAAAUAUAUACGUAAAACAUACGAAACAAUGCUACGAUAAGCUUCAACAGGAUAUGGAACGUGAUAAUUUUAUGUCGCCAGAAGAGGCGAAAAGAAUGGGUUUAAUUGAUCAUGUUCUGGAACACCCUCCCCAAUCGGAGGCAGAUGGUGAUGUUAUGACCACAGUUAAACACUCAGAUGGAAUGUCUGCUGCGCUCCAGUGGCUCUCACCCAAGUAAGACAUGCAUAUUAACCAAUAUGCUAGUGCUUUCAACACAACUAUGUUAUUUAAAUAAGGAAAUAUCGAGCGUUGUACACAACUGUGGUUAAUCUUACUUUGAAGUAGAUAAAGUUCAGCGCUCUCAGUGCUCAAAAAUUCGCCAGCGACUUUACUGAACACAUAUGUAUACAACUUCAGGAAUGCCAAUCACUGGAAGGAAGUCGCUGCAGGUGUUGAUAGCUCCACGGCGGUCAGUACCUGUCGGAAGUUAGUUUCGUCCGAAGACCGGUCGGUAUAUUGUUGUCGUUGUUGUAUGGUUCUGCUCCAAGCAUGUGGCUGCAGGGAUGAUUUCUGCGAAAACAUCAAAGCAGAAACUAGCUGGAUAGUUUCUAAGGUGUGGACACAUUUUUAGCCCGCAAAGUUAGCAAAGUGCGCAUGAGGGCUAGAUGAGGAGAAUAUCAGUUUACGGAGGGAACGGCAAAAGAAGUUGCGAAAAACUCAAUUGCAUUCCUCCGUAAUGUUCAUCGCAGAAUGGUUGCGGCCUGAGAGAAAGAGAUGGCCAACUCCGAGAAACGAGCAAUUGCUAAACGUCAAAACCUACUGAACUUUGACAGCUAAUCGAGUUCAGUAGGUUUUGACGUGUAUCAUUUGGAAACGAGCGAUAUCCAGAUUGAAAUCUUACCAAAAAAAUGUGUAAACGGAGGGAUUUGUUGCAUCGUUCAAGAC